AGACAACCUGUUUAGUUGAAAGAAGUUCUGAGGUGACCAUCAAUCAUAGUGGACUAAGUGGAGAGUCUGUUAAUGAAAUUAAUGGAAAAAGAUUUGAGGGUCAUGAGAAUGAUAACAAAGUCAAUGGAGCAACUUCCACAUCGAAACAAGAAGAAACUGUCUGGGUGGAGGGUCUUCUCCCUGGCAUUGACUUUUGCAACCAUGACUUGAAGGCAGUGGCAACAUGGGAAGUUCCUGUCCCAAAGAUAUACAAUGAGCAAAUAACAGAUUUAUUGGAUCCAAAUCGAAGAAACCUGCAG
Molecule: long non-coding RNA, 299 nt
Organism: Hibiscus syriacus
Lineage: Eukaryota; Viridiplantae; Streptophyta; Magnoliopsida; Malvales; Malvaceae
Exons: 4
Source: RefSeq, a predicted model, not a curated record